Molecule: ribosomal RNA, 446 nt
Filed under: uncultured bacterium
Lineage: Bacteria
Description: bacterial SSU rRNA
Rfam family: Bacterial small subunit ribosomal RNA
Source: RNAcentral
CCAGACUCCUACGGGAGGCAGCAGUCGGGAAUAUUGCGCAAUGGAGGAAACUCUGACGCAGUGACGCCGCGUGCAGGAAGAAGGUUUUCGGAUUGUAAACUGCUUUAGACAGGGAAGAAACAAGACAGUACCUGUAGAAUAAGCUCCGGCUAACUACGUGCCAGCAGCAGCGGUAAUACGGAAGGUCCGGGCGUUAUCCGGAUUUAUUGGGUUUAAAGGGAGCGUAGGCCGCAUGUUAAGCGUGCCGUGAAAUGCCGUGGCUCAACCAUGGCACUGCGGCGCGAACUGGCUUGCUUGAGUGCGCGGAACGUAUGCGGAAUUCGUGGUGUAGCGGUGAAAUGCUUAGAUAUCACGAAGAACUCCGAUUGCGAAGGCAGCAUACGGCAGCGCUACUGACGCUGAAGCUCGAAGGCGCGGGUAUCGAACAGGAUUAGAUACCCGGGUAA